RNAcentral lists this long non-coding RNA (1351 nucleotides) under Cyanistes caeruleus (blue tit). RNAcentral describes it as "lncRNA (ENSCCEG00000019837.1)". The record is from RNAcentral. Lineage: Eukaryota; Metazoa; Chordata; Aves; Passeriformes; Paridae.
GGAUCAGCUGAGCCUUGUGCCUGCCUGACACAGACCUGCCAUGCCAGGGGAAUUCUGGAGUGCUGCUGGCUCCCCUGGCAGGCCUCCUUGACACCCAGGGUAUUCCCAGAGUAUUUUCCUAUCCCUCCUCUCACACACAGGUACCUCAGCCACCUUCUCUCUGAUGGAAAUCUGAGCUUUGAGAGUUUCUGGAGCUUUUUUUUGACCCGAGUGGAGGCAUUUAGGUGUUCUCUGCCUCAAGAGCAGACUUCCAUCACCGCAGGCUUAUCUGGGACAAAGCUCAUAACAGCAGAAAGCCAAGGAAACUGGAAAGCCUAUUGUAAUAACAAAAAAAGCCACAAGUGGCAGUAGGACACUGGCAGGCAAAUCAAAUAUCAGCCCCAGCUGAUGAGCUAAGGCAGGGGCUUUCUCUGGAUGUCUGCUGGAAGGCUAAAAAUUAACGUGUGUGGAAGUGUGCAGCCUGAAAUAGAAGUGAGUUGUAUUGAAGACUAAUAUUUAUAACUCUACCCUAGCAAUUUGUAACAUACCCACUUCCUACUACAGAGGGCAGAACUAUAAUCAAGAAUGCCUCUGAAAGCUCAGAACUUUUUGCAGACACAAAUACUGUCUGCAAAUGCAUGUUCUAGCAAAUGCUUUUUAACUGUUUACAGGAUCUAUGUCAUCCGCAGAAAAACACUUUUCAAUAUACAGUUGGACUUUUAGAGAGUUUUUUACUGCCUUAGCUACUGGUAGCUGUGAGAAUUCCAUGGCAGAUCUACAGGUAUAAAGAGGGCACACCUUGGUUUCUGGUUUGGGUUUGCAUUUUAACAGUGGGGGUUGGAAAAUGAUUCUUUCCCAUGGUGCUCAGGAGGGUAACUCCUGUUGCUGCGACACAGGAAUGAGCUGACAGCUUGCCACUGACAUAAAUAGCCUCUGUCUGGGUGCUGUCAUCAGUGAGGUGUUUGAUAGCUUGAGUUCAGAUACCUGAGUUCAUCACUCAGCCACUUUUGAAGGCUGUCGUGGUCAUUUCAUGGCAUUUGCAUGAGUUGUUUUUUGAGUGAUCCAGCUCCCUGAAUCUACUGUGGCACUGCAGAUGCAUGAAGGCCUUCCCAACACUAUUUCUUCCUGUUAGACAUGACAUGGGAGAAGUGUUAAUGUGUUUCCUUUAGAUUUUAAUAGUUAUCAGCAGUUACCAUUUAUUGUGCAUGAAUCAGAAGUGGCUUAGAGUUCAACAGUGAGGACAGCCUAACCACAAAGAACAAAGAAUCCUUUCCCAAACCCAAAACCUAACAGAACUUAUUUUUUUAUUCCAUGUUUGCUUUGCCUUCACCUAAAAAAUACUUUAAAAAGUAAUCUAAAAGGCCAGAUCAAG